RNAcentral lists this ribosomal RNA (438 nucleotides) under Halomonas sp. RNAcentral describes it as "bacterial SSU rRNA". It matches the Rfam family "Bacterial small subunit ribosomal RNA", at positions 30 to 464 of the family's 1533-position model. The record is from RNAcentral. Lineage: Bacteria; Pseudomonadati; Pseudomonadota; Gammaproteobacteria; Oceanospirillales; Halomonadaceae.
AUUGAACGCUGGCGGCAGGCCUAACACAUGCAAGUCGAGCGGAAACGAUCCUAGCUUGCUAGGAGGCGUCGAGCGGCGGACGGGUGAGUAAUGCAUAGGAAUCUGCCCGGUAGUGGGGGAUAACCUGGGGAAACCCAGGCUAAUACCGCAUACGCCCUACGGGGGAAAGCAGGGGAUCUUCGGACCUUGCGCUAUCGGAUGAGCCUAUGUCGGAUUAGCUAGUUGGUGAGGUAACGGCUCACCAAGGCUGCGAUCCGUAGCUGGUCUGAGAGGAUGAUCAGCCACAUCGGGACUGAGACACGGCCCGAACUCCUACGGGAGGCAGCAGUGGGGAAUAUUGGACAAUGGGCGAAAGCCUGAUCCAGCCAUGCCGCGUGUGUGAAGAAGGCCUUCGGGUUGUAAAGCACUUUCAGUGAGGAAGAAAGCCUUGAGGUUAAU